Long non-coding RNA from Phyllostomus discolor (pale spear-nosed bat), 213 nucleotides. RefSeq lists it as uncharacterized. The record is from RefSeq and is a predicted model, not a curated record. The transcript is spliced from 2 exons. Lineage: Eukaryota; Metazoa; Chordata; Mammalia; Chiroptera; Phyllostomidae.
AAAAAAAUGAAACUAGAGCACCAACUUACACCAUACACAAAAAUAAAUUCAAGGUGGAUAAGAGUCUUAAAUAUAGGUUGUUACACCAUAAGAGUCCUAGAGGAAAUCAUUGGCAGGAAAAUUUCAGACAUUCAAUGCAGUAACAUCUUCACUGAUAUUUCCCCUAAAGCAAGGGACAUAAAGCAAAGAAUAAACAAAUGGAACCUCAUCAAA